AGGCCCGUAGGCUAAUGGCAAACCGCUCGCCUCCAGAGCGAGCUUUGGAGGUUCGACUCCUCCCGGGCCUGCCA
RNAcentral lists this transfer RNA (74 nucleotides) under candidate division WWE3 bacterium RIFCSPLOWO2_02_FULL_53_10. RNAcentral describes it as "tRNA-Trp". It matches the Rfam family "tRNA". Rfam says of the family: Transfer RNA (tRNA) molecules are approximately 80 nucleotides in length. Their secondary structure includes four short double-helical elements and three loops (D, anti-codon, and T loops). The record is from RNAcentral. Lineage: Bacteria; candidate division WWE3. RNAcentral also lists the same sequence under 2 other names.